RNAcentral lists this ribosomal RNA (301 nucleotides) under uncultured bacterium. Its description in RNAcentral is "partial 16S ribosomal RNA". It matches the Rfam family "Bacterial small subunit ribosomal RNA", at positions 509 to 807 of the family's 1533-position model. The record is from RNAcentral.
CAGCAGCCGCGGGAAUACGGAGGAUUCAAGCGUUGUCCGGAAUUAUUGGGCGUAAAGGGCUCGCAGGCGGUUUCUUAAGUCUGAUGUGAAAGCCCCCGGCUCAACCGGGGAGGGUCAUUGGAAACUGGGAAACUUGAGUGCAGAAGAGGAGAGUGGAAUUCCACGUGUAGCGGUGAAAUGCGUAGAGAUGUGGAGGAACACCAGUGGCGAAGGCGACUCUCUGGUCUGUAACUGACGCUGAGGAGCGAAAGCGUGGGGAGCGAACAGGAUUAGAUACCCGGGUAGUCCCUGUCUCUUAUAC